Pteropus alecto (black flying fox) is the source of this 45-nucleotide non-coding RNA. Lineage: Eukaryota; Metazoa; Chordata; Mammalia; Chiroptera; Pteropodidae. The record is from Rfam.
CCAAAGGCUCUUUUCAGAGCCACUCACAUUGUCAGGAAAGGCUGU